Molecule: ribosomal RNA, 492 nt
Filed under: uncultured bacterium
Lineage: Bacteria
Description: partial 16S ribosomal RNA
Rfam family: Bacterial small subunit ribosomal RNA
Source: RNAcentral
AGUGAACGCUGGCGGUAGGCCUAACACAUGCAAGUCGAACGGCAGCACAGUAAGAGCUUGCUCUUACGGGUGGCGAGUGGCGGACGGGUGAGGAAUACAUCGGAAUCUACUUUUUCGUGGGGGAUAACGUAGGGAAACUUACGCUAAUACCGCAUACGACCUACGGGUGAAAGCAGGGGAUCUUCGGACCUUGCGCGAUUGAAUGAGCCGAUGUCGGAUUAGCUAGUUGGCGGGGUAAAGGCCCACCAAGGCGACGAUCCGUAGCUGGUCUGAGAGGAUGAUCGGCCAAACUGGAACUGAGACACGGUCCAGACUCCUACGGGAGGCAGCAGUGGGGAAUAUUGGACAAUGGGCGGAAGCCUGAUCCAGCCAUACCGCGUGGGUGAAGAAGGCCUUCGGGUUGUAAAACCCUUUUGUUGGGGAAGAAAAGCAGCAGGUUAAAACCCCGCUGUUCUGACGGUACCCAAAGAAUAAGCACCGGCUAACUUCGUG